AAAUCCUCGAGCCAGCAAGAUGGGCUGCAACACCAGCCAGGAGCUGAAGACGAAGGAUGGCGCCGCCAUCGAUGCGGUGAGCAAUGGCGAACCGGAGCCUAGUGCUCCUCCGCUGGAGGGCGAGUCCUCCAAGUCAUCCGCUAGCAAUCAUACGAAUCACGGCAAAUCCAGUUCAAUUAUCUCCAAUGGCGAGGCAAAGGCGGCCAACGGGGGCGCCGCAGUUGGCGGGGGGAGUGGCAAGUCGGAAGCAACAAAUGGCAUUGACCGUCCCUGCGACAAGGCGGCAAUCACGGAGCUCAAUGACGACGAGGACGAAGAACCGGAGGUGGAGAUACUGAUACCACAUCACCAUCAUCAUCAUGGCAGCAAAAAAUUCCAUCGAAAUCCCUUGAAAAAUUUGGAUCUCGAUUUUAAAUUCGAUGUCAAUUCGUUUUAGCCAACAGCAAAUCCCUCGACUGGUAACUAUUGGCAUUUAAUACUUUACCAAAAAAAGCAAUACAUUCACAACACAAACAGCAAAAGCCGCC
Molecule: unclassified non-coding RNA, 527 nt
Filed under: Drosophila erecta
Lineage: Eukaryota; Metazoa; Arthropoda; Insecta; Diptera; Drosophilidae
Description: GG20500
Source: RNAcentral